Oreochromis niloticus (Nile tilapia) is the source of this 1468-nucleotide long non-coding RNA. RefSeq lists it as uncharacterized. Lineage: Eukaryota; Metazoa; Chordata; Actinopteri; Cichliformes; Cichlidae. The record is from RefSeq and is a predicted model, not a curated record. The transcript has 2 exons.
GGUAUGCAAACUCCCGCUCCGCAGUCACGCAGGAAGGAGAAACUUUCUUCGUCCAGGCUCGCCUCCUUUGGUUUUUUUUACGCCGCAAAAAUCUCCGGAAUCUCUGACCCGAGUGACGUCACUGUGCCUGAACUACACAGUUUGCGCUUCUUCGGGACAGCGUGCCAAGUUACAAAGCUCAGACCACCUCAAACUGCUUUCUUGGACAUUGGAAUGAAUCCACAGCCAAUCUCAGUCCACCAGAGCACCUUUGGGAUGUGCUGGAACAGGAGUUUCGCAUCCUGAUGUGCAGUCAACAAAUGGAACCAAAAUCUCUGGGGAAUGUUUCCAGCAACUUGUUGAAUCCAUGCCAAAAAAAAAAAAAAAGUUUAAUCUGAGGGCAAAAGCAAGGCUGAGUCCAACCCAGCCUUGCUUUUCUGGUGUCUGGUAAGUAAAUUUCCUGCAUGGAUUUCAUGGGGUAUGUCAAAGUUGAUCUUAAGUGGGCCAGACCAAAUUAAAUUCUAUUUUCUGUCAGCACAAAGAAGUUUAACCACACAUUAAAUCCUUAAGAUAUCAUUGUAUAAAAAAACCAAAAAAUACCCAAGUAUAAUUCCAACAGUACGUUUCAUUUUCUACAUGAUAAAGAAAUGUUGCUGUAACAUGCUGUCAGCAUGACUCUCAGGGCUUAAACUGUAAGAAAUAAAUAUGUAAUAAAUAAAAUUUCCUACUGAAAAAUGAUGGUAGCUUAUUGGCCAGGCUGUCCUACAAUACUAAAAUAAGGUUGUUUAUUUUAUUUUAUUUUUUUAAACUGUUGAGCCAAAAAGUUCUCAUAUUCUCUUAAUUUAAUGUUCAUCUAUUACUUCAUUACCUACUUAGGAUAGCAUGAAUGGCAUGGAGGAAAAGCUGUAAAACCUAUGAAAAUACACUGAGAAGCACAAAAUCCAUGUUCCCCUUCACAUUUUUCAGUGGGCCAGAUCGUCUUAAGCAGGCCGAUUUUGACCCCAGAGCUUUCUGUUUGACAAAAAUAACAACUUUUAAAAAGCUUUUUUUGAAACUUUCCUUUGAAGCUCACAUAUUUAGUACACAGUUAACCUUCAAGGACACCGCACAUUCAACAAACUGCAAACUAUUCAUCCCGAUAAUUGCUGUCAUCAGAAGAAUCUGAGGUACGAGAGUGAGAGUACAGAAACAACAGUGCAUUUAAGAAAUCACAACUGCUUUAUUUAUUUUCUCUCAAUAAGCUCUUUUUCUUUAACAAGGGAGAGUAAUGACCAAAUACCUGAAAGGAUAAAGGUCAGAGAGGAUAAAUAGAAUGCUGGAUCAGCUGUAGAAAGCACUGGUCCUCUGUGAAAAAACUGAAAUAUGCAUCUUAAAAGUAAAAAAAACCAAAAAAACCUCAAAAUGGGCAACAUUGCGGUGCAGGUACAAUGAUGAGAAGCGCCAAGAUCCUUCCCAGAAAGGGGUAAGAGGCCAAAAAAAACAACAACAA